Molecule: long non-coding RNA, 579 nt
Filed under: Gossypium barbadense (sea-island cotton)
Lineage: Eukaryota; Viridiplantae; Streptophyta; Magnoliopsida; Malvales; Malvaceae
Description: long non-coding RNA (GBAR_LNC023459)
Source: RNAcentral
UUUGUAGUAGUACACAGGUGGUGGAGGUGACUUGUAAACAUAAGUCGGCGAUGGUGGAGGUGGUGACUUGUAAACAUAAGUGGGAGCCGGUGGAGGUGGAGACUUAUAGUAGUAUGGAGGUUGUUCCACAUGUUUUGGUGGUGGUGGAGACUUGUAGUAGUACACAGGAGGUGGAGGUGACUUGUAAACAUAAGUGGGAGCCGGUGGAGGUGGAGACUUAUAGUAGUAUGGAGGCUGUUCCACAUGCUUUGGUGGUGGUGGAGACUUGUAGUAGUACGCAGGAGGUGGAGGUGACUUGUAAACAUAAGUUGGUGAUGGUGGAGGUGGUGACUUGUAAACAUAAGUGGGAGCCGGUGGAGGUGGAGACUUAUAAUAGUACGGUGGUGGCUUGUACGGAUGAGUCGGAGGCUUAGGAGUGUACUUUUCACACUUCUUGUAAGGUUUCUUUGAACCAUAACCAAAUGGCUUAGCUCUAAGCACAACCUCGUACUUGUCCUCUGACUUGACCUUGAGCACAGCACCCUCGAUGCCAUCAUGUACACUCAUGGGUAUGUUGCAUGAUGAACCCUUAGGUGGGGC